This 473-nucleotide ribosomal RNA is filed under the name uncultured bacterium. RNAcentral's name for it is "partial 16S ribosomal RNA". It matches the Rfam family "Bacterial small subunit ribosomal RNA", at positions 28 to 507 of the family's 1533-position model. The record is from RNAcentral.
GAUAAACGCUGGCGGCGCACAUAAGACAUGCAAGUUGAACGGACUUAAUCGAAAUAUUUAUAUUUUGAAGCGGUUAGUGGCGGACUGGUGAGUAACGCGUAAGGAACCUGCCUAUUAGAGGGGAAUAACAGUGAGAAAUCAUUGCUAAUACCGCAUAUGCCAUAGAUAUCACAUGAUAACAGUGGGAAAGGAGCAAUCCGCUAAUAGAUGGCCUUGCGUCUGAUUAGAUAGUUGGUGGGGUAACGGCCUACCAAGUCGACGAUCAGUAGCCGGACUGAGAGGUUGAACGGCCACAUUGGGACUGAGCUACGGCCCAGACUCCUACGGGAGGCAGCAGUCGGGAAUAUUGCGCAAUGGAGGAAACUCUGACGCAGUGACGCCGCGUAUAGGAAGAAGGUUUUCGGAUUGUAAACUAUUGUCGUUAGGGAAGAGAAAGGACAGUACCUAAGGAGGAAGCUCCGGCUAACUACGUG